CUCCCAGUAACGGCGAGUGAACGGAGAUUAGCCCGUCACCGAAGUCCGGUGCUCUUGCACACAGGACAAUGUGGUGUUGAGGCGUGCACCUGGGGCACGCGUGUCCACCCGAAGUCCAACUCCGAUUGUGGCUUGGAUUUUGCCCAGAGCGGGUGUAAGGCCCGUACGGGUGGGCGGUUGAUCGCGAGCGCGGCCCUCAGAUGUGCAUGCUUUCGAGUCGGAUUGCUUGAGAAUGCAGUCCAAAGUGGGUGGUAAACUCCAUCCAAGGCUAAAUACUGGCACGAGUCCGAUAGUAGACAAGUACCGUGAGGGAAAGUUGAAAAGUACUCUGAAGAGAGAGUAAAUAGUACGUGAAACCGAUUGCAGGGAAGCUGGUGGAGUCAAGCUUCAUGCUUGGAGAAUUCUCGCUCGGGGCUUUGCUGUGUUUUGGGCCUGGCGCCGGUCAGCUUGGAAAGAGUUGGGCACACACGUGUGCCUCAAGUCGGUCCGGGCGCGACUGAUUGUACCGGUGCUUGUGUCCUGUCCUGAGCGAUCUAUUCUUCGUGGCAUAAAUCACGGUCGAUAGUGUGGUGAUACGUGCUGUCCGACUGUCUAACUGUGCUUUGGUGAGCCUCCGGCUUGUCGGGUGCAGGAUGGCAGGUGGUGGUUGCGGGCCUCGUGUCCUCGACUGCUGAAACUGGUUUCGACCGGCUGAUGGCCGGACAGUAUCGUCGCUAUCGCGAAUGUGUGGUGUGCUGUCCCUGGACUGUGCACUGCUCAGAACCGUGA
This 768-nucleotide ribosomal RNA is filed under the name Ligophorus careyensis. RNAcentral describes it as "eukaryotic LSU rRNA". It matches the Rfam family "Eukaryotic large subunit ribosomal RNA", at positions 77 to 628 of the family's 3401-position model. The record is from RNAcentral. Lineage: Eukaryota; Metazoa; Platyhelminthes; Monogenea; Dactylogyridea; Ancyrocephalidae.